GGGAGACAUAAAGACAAUGUGAACUACCUGUGCUAGGAAUAAUUUCUGAUCAGGAACUUGGGCUUUCAUCUACCCUUUUCAAAGAGUAUUAUAUGAAAAAGGAAAAAGAAAAUCUAUUUCUUGAAUCUGGUAAGUAGCCCAGCUUUUGAUUAAUCAUGCAGAGUCACAGAACUGAGGAACCUGUAAACCUAAGGACUCAUUUUUGGUUCUAAUAUUUUUUUCUAGAAAGAACGAUUUCAGCUUCUGGACUGCAUUUCUUGCUAUGACCAGCAGAGAUGAAAAAUAUCAAAAUACAAUUAAUAAGAACACCAUGUAUCAUGAGCAGAAAACCUGCGGAAAGAACAAAAGAACUGUCAAAUAUUCCAGAAUUGUAUGUAUAACAGAUGAAGAAUUGAAUUGAGCAAGAUAAUGUAAGGCGACAAGAAUUGCUCUUUUCUCCCUGCUCUUUAUUUUCCCUGUUCUGAACUGUCACUGAGUGAAUAAUUAGAAAAUGUUGAACUUCAUGGUAGCAAACAACAAUAAAAAGCAAUCAUUAAAGCA
RNAcentral lists this long non-coding RNA (540 nucleotides) under Dromaius novaehollandiae (emu). RNAcentral's name for it is "lncRNA (ENSDNVG00000004905.1)". Lineage: Eukaryota; Metazoa; Chordata; Aves; Casuariiformes; Dromaiidae. The record is from RNAcentral.